AAGACCAUGCAAGGAAAUAUACCGUAACUGUCAUAGUUGAUUCAUACUCAAAUACUCUGCUACCAUCUACAGGCUGUUUGACAAAACAGCAUCUCUGCUCCACAGCUUGGGUAGAUAGCCGACCUCUCAAACUAGUCAUUUCGUUUUGAAAACCAGACCCUAGGCAACACACUGACUGAGGUCUGGUUUCAAUGACGGACUCUUUUGGUAUCGAGGAACUACGUCACUUCCUACAUCACGACUUUAUCCUCUUGAAUAAAAUACUAAAUAGUAGCUAGCAAGAUGGAGAUCACAGAGGUUAUAUAUUCGCAAGUAGAUACCUACUCAGGUUGUACAACUGAAUGUCUUCAACUGAAAUGUGUCUUCCUCAUUUAACCGCACCCCUCUGAAUCAGAGAGGUGCGGGGGGAGGCUGCCUUAAUCAACAUCCACAUCUUUGGCACCCGGGGAACAGUGGGUUAACUGCCUUGUUAACCCACUAUUUUAACCUUGUCAGGUUACUGGCCCAACGCUCUAACCACUAGGCUGCCUGCCGCCCCAGGAGCUAGUUUACAUCAACUACCUCAACUAAAACCACUGCAACGUUUGGUUUUGAAUCACAGCGUUCUGGCAUGUCUGUCGCGUGAUUUGUUAGGCGAGUCCCCAGAACGCCGUAGGUAGUGAUGUAGUUCCUCUAGGCCAACAGACCCUCAUUAAAACCAGGUUCUAGUCACUGUGUUGCCCUCGGUCGGGUUUUCAACAGACUCCCUCAUUAAAACCAGGUCCUAGUCACUGUGUUGCCCUCGGUCGGGUUUUCAACAGACUCCCUCAUUAAAACCAGGUCCUAGUCACUGUGUUGCCCUCGGUCGGGUUUUCAACAGACCCUCAUUAAAACCAGGUCCUAGUCACUGUGUUGCCCUCGGUCGGGUUUUCAACAGACUCCCUCAUUAAAACCAGGUCCUAGUCACUGUGUUGCCCUCGGUCGGGUUUUCAACAGACUCCCUCAUUAAAACCAGGUCCUAGUCACUGUGUUGUCUACGGUCGGGUUUUCAACAGACUCCCUCAUUAAAACCAGGUCCUAGUCACUGUGUUGCCCUCGGUCGGGUUUUCAACAGACUCCCUCAUUAAAACCAGGUCCUAGUCACUGUGUUGCCCUCGGUCGGGUUUUCAACAGACUCCCUCAUUAAAACCAGGUCCUAGUCACUGUGUUGUCUACGGUCGGGUUUUCAACAGACUCCCUCAUUAAAACCAGGUCCUAGUCACUGUGUUGCCCUCGGUCGGGUUUUCAACAGACUCCCUCAUUAAAACCAGGUCCUAGUCACUGUGUUGUCUACGGUCGGGUUUUCAACAGACUCCCUCAUUAAAACCAGGUCCUAGUCACUGUGUUGUCUACGGUCGGGUUUUCAACAGACUCCCUCAUUAAAACCAGGUCCUAGUCACUGUGUUGCCCUCGGUCGGGUUUUCAACAGACUCCCUCAUUAAAACCAGGUCCUAGUCACUGUGUUGUCUACGGUCGGGUUUUCAACAGACUCCCUCAUUAAAACCAGGUCCUAGUCACUGUGUUGCCCUCGGUCGGGUUUUCAACAGACUCCCUCAUUAAAACCAGGUUCUAGUCACUGUGUUGUCUACGGUCGGGUUUUCAACAGACUCCCUCAUUAAAACCAGGUCCUAGUCACUGUGUUGCCCUCGGUCGGGUUUUCAACAGACUCCCUCAUUAAAACCAGGUCCUAGUCACUGUGUUGUCUACGGUCGGGUUUUCAACAGACUCCCUCAUUAAAACCAGGUCCUAGUCACUGUGUCGCCCUCGGUCGGGUUUGGAACAAGACUAACUAGUAAUGGGGCAGAAUGGGUGACCAACCCUGGGUUCAGGGGUGUAACAACAAGCAGUGAAUCUUACGUGUGCAUUGGGCCCCUCUAUGACCAGGAAAUGCCCACACAUGUCAAAUGUGUGACUAUCAGGGCUUUAACAUGGAUGUUAUGGAGGUUUGGGGUUGUAUAUACGUUCAGACAAGACGAGGAUAUGAGUGGAACAUCAGGGCUUUAACAUGGAUGUUAUGGAGGUUUGGGGUUGUAUAUACGUUCAGACAAGACGAGGAUAUGAGUGGAACAUCAGGGCUUUAACAUGGAUGUUAUGGAGGUUUGGGGUUGUAUAUACGUUCAGACUAGACGAGGAUAUGAGUGGAACAUCAGGGCUUUAACAUGGAUGUUAUGGAGGUUUGGGGUUGUAUAUACGUUCAGACAAGACGAGGAUAUGAGUGGAACAUCAGGGCUUUAACAUGGAUGUUAUGGAGGUUUGGGGUUGUAUAUACGUUCAGACAAGACGAGGAUAUGAGUGGAACAUCAGGGCUUUAACAUGGAUGUUAUGGAGGUUUGGGGUUGUAUAUACGUUCAGACUAGACGAGGAUAUGAGUGGAACAUCAGGGCUUUAACAUGGAUGUUAUGGAGGUUUGGGGUUGUAUAUACGUUCAGACAAGACGAGGAUAUGAGU
Oncorhynchus keta (chum salmon) is the source of this 2466-nucleotide long non-coding RNA. RefSeq lists it as uncharacterized. NCBI's taxonomy places the organism in Eukaryota, Metazoa, Chordata, Actinopteri, Salmoniformes, Salmonidae. The transcript is spliced from 4 exons. The record is from RefSeq and is a predicted model, not a curated record.